GCCUGGGUGGCUCAGUCGGUUGAGCGUCCGACUUCAGCUCAGGUCACAAUCUAGCAGUCUGUGAGUUCGAGCCCCGCAUCAGGCU
RNAcentral lists this transfer RNA (85 nucleotides) under Felis catus (domestic cat). It matches the Rfam family "tRNA". Rfam says of the family: Transfer RNA (tRNA) molecules are approximately 80 nucleotides in length. Their secondary structure includes four short double-helical elements and three loops (D, anti-codon, and T loops). Further hydrogen bonds mediate the characteristic L-shaped molecular structure. tRNAs have two regions of fundamental functional importance: the anti-codon, which is responsible for specific mRNA codon recognition, and the 3' end, to which the tRNAs corresponding amino acid is attached (by aminoacyl-tRNA synthetases). tRNAs cope with the degeneracy of the genetic code in two manners: having more than one tRNA (with a specific anti-codon) for a particular amino acid; and 'wobble' base-pairing, i.e. permitting non-standard base-pairing at the 3rd anti-codon position. The record is from Rfam by way of RNAcentral. Lineage: Eukaryota; Metazoa; Chordata; Mammalia; Carnivora; Felidae.